GCCUUGGUGGUGCAGUGGUAGAGCACGCGUCCUCGGUAUGGAUGAAACGCUGGCUCAAUUUCCGCCUGAGGCC
Parelaphostrongylus tenuis is the source of this 73-nucleotide non-coding RNA. The record is from the annotation of a GenBank genome assembly. Lineage: Eukaryota; Metazoa; Nematoda; Chromadorea; Rhabditida; Metastrongylidae.